CCUGGCUCAGGAUGAACGCUGGCGGCGUGCCUAAUACAUGCAAGUCGAGCGAAUGGAUUAAGAGCUUGCUCUUAUGAAGUUAGCGGCGGACGGGUGAGUAACACGUGGGUAACCUGCCCUAAGACUGGGAUAACUCCGGGAAAACGGGGCUAAUACCGGAUAACAUUUUGAACCGCAUGGUUCGAAAUUGAAAGGCGGCUUCGGCUGUCACUUAUGGAUGGACCCGCGUCGCAUUAGCUAGUUGGUGAGGUAACGGCUCACCAAGGCAACGAUGCGUAGCCGACCUGAGAGGGUGAUCGGCCACACUGGGACUAGACACGGCCCAGACUCCUACGGGAGGCAGCAGUAGGGAAUGUUCCGCAAUGGACGAAAGUCUGACGGAGCAACGCCGCGUGAGUGAUGAAGGCUUUCGGGUCGUAAAACUCUGUUGUUAGGGAAGAACAAGUGCUAGUUGAAUAAGCUGGCACCUUGACGGUACCUAACCAGAAAGCCACGGCUAACUACGUGCCAGCAGCCGCGGUAAUACGUAGGUGGCAAGCGUUAUCCGGAAUUAUUGGGCGUAAAGCGCGCGCAGGUGGUUUCUAAAGUCUGAUGUGAAAGCCCACGGCUCAACCGUGGAGGGUCAUUGGAAACUGGGAGACUUGAGUGCAGAAGAGGAAAGUGGAAUUCCAUGUGUAGCGGUGAAAUGCGUAGAGAUAUGGAGGAACACCAGUGGCGAAGGCGACUUUCUGGUCUGUAACUGACACUGAGGCGCGAAAGCGUCGGGAGCAAACAGGAUUAGAUACCCUGGUAGUCCACGCCGUAAACGAUGAGUGCUAAGUGUUAGAGGGUUUCCGCCCUUUAGUGCUGAAGUUAACGCAUUAAGCACUCCGCCUGGGGAGUACGGCCGCAAGGCUGAAACCAAAGGAAUUGACGGGGGCCCGUACAAGCGGUGGAGCAUGUGGUUUAAUUCGAAGCAACGCGAAGAACCUUACCAGGUCUUGACAUCCUCUGAAAACCCUAGAGAUAGGGCUUCUCCUUCGGGAGCAGAGUGACAGGUGGUGCAUGGUUGUCGUCAGCUCGUGUCGUGAGAUGUUGGGUUAAGUCCCGCAACGAGCGCAACCCAUGAUCUUAGUUGCCAUCAUUAAGUUGGGCACUCUAAGGUGACUGCCGGUGACAAACCGGAGGAAGGUGGG
Molecule: ribosomal RNA, 1175 nt
Filed under: Bacillus cereus
Lineage: Bacteria; Bacillati; Bacillota; Bacilli; Caryophanales; Bacillaceae
Description: bacterial SSU rRNA
Rfam family: Bacterial small subunit ribosomal RNA
Source: RNAcentral